UGCUGAGAAAGCUAGUGGCCGCUGCGCACCGAAGUUUGCAAAGACGGGUUCCCCGAGGUGCACACUGCUGACGGUUAUAAAACAAACCAGCACUUCCAAUACGAUGUUGAACAAAAGUACCAAAAGUGAGCAUCCUCGUCUGUUCCUGCUUUUAGAGAAACAGCUUUCAGCUUUUCACCAUUGAGUAUGAUGUUAGCUGUGGGCUUGUCAUAUAUGGCCUUUAUAAUGUUGAGGUUCCCAUCUAGGAUACAACAUUACAUUUAGUCAUCAUGUCUUCUUAGGCUCCUCUUGGCUGUGACUGUUUCUGAGGUUUUCCUUGUUUUUGAUGACCUUGAAAGUUUUGAUAGUACUGGGUAGGUAUUUUGCAGAAUGUCCCUCAAUUGGGGUUUGUCUGAUGUUUUUCUCAUAAGUACAACCUAAGAUCCCCUCCUCAAAUUGACUUGGAUGAGCACGGAGGAGUGGCCUCCUGAUGCUCAGGAUGGGGAGAGGCUAUCUCUCCUCUUGAUUCCCCAGAAAGGGAGGUGAAGUAUUAAGUUAGCAAACUUCAAAAAGACCGUUUGAAAGGAAGGUCGAUAACCAAUUCUGAGAGUUCAUGGUGUUCAUAAACAUUCAUAAGGGGUUACAGUACUUAUGCUGGGGAAUAUAAUAUUAAACAUCUCAUUGUUGGUUAAGAUUUAUUUUAGAGCACAGGACACGAAGUUCUGUUGGUUAUAGUGGG
Molecule: long non-coding RNA, 718 nt
Filed under: Equus asinus (donkey)
Lineage: Eukaryota; Metazoa; Chordata; Mammalia; Perissodactyla; Equidae
Description: lncRNA (ENSEASG00005024396.1)
Source: RNAcentral